Molecule: ribosomal RNA, 330 nt
Filed under: uncultured bacterium
Lineage: Bacteria
Description: bacterial SSU rRNA
Rfam family: Bacterial small subunit ribosomal RNA
Source: RNAcentral
CGCGUAGGUGGUAGUGAAAGUCUAUGGUGGAAUCUUAGGGCUUAACCCUAAAACUGCCUUGGAAACUUCAUUACUUGAGUCAGUGAGGGGAGGGUAGAAUUCCUGGUGUAGCGGUGAAAUGCGUAGAUAUCAGGAGGAAGGCCGGUGGCGAAGGCGGCCCUCUGGCGCUGAACUGACGCUGAGGCGCGAAAGCGUGGGUAGCAAACAGGAUUAGAUACCCUGGUAGUCCACGCCCUAAACGGUGGGUACUAGGUGUAGGGCUCGUAAGGGUUCUGUGCCGAAGGGAAACCAUUAAGUACCCCGCCUGGGUAGUACGGCCGCAAGGUUGAA